RNAcentral lists this ribosomal RNA (884 nucleotides) under uncultured bacterium. Its description in RNAcentral is "bacterial SSU rRNA". It matches the Rfam family "Bacterial small subunit ribosomal RNA", at positions 8 to 916 of the family's 1533-position model. The record is from RNAcentral.
AGAGUUUGAUCCUGGCUCAGGACGAACGCUGGCGGCGUGCUUAACACAUGCAAGUUGAACGGUACUCCAUGGAAGCUUGCUGAAGUGGAGUAUAGUAGCGGACGGGUGAGUAAUGCAUGAGAAGCUGCCAUUGGGAGGGGGACAACAGCUGGAAACGGCUGCUAAUACCCCGUAUGCCGGAAGGUGAAAGGGAUUUAUCCCGCCCGAUGAGGUGCUCAUGUCCUAUCAGCUAGUUGGUGAGGUAACGGCUCACCAAGGCGACGACGGGUAGCCGGCCUGAGAGGGUGAACGGCCACACUGGAACUGAGACACGGUCCAGACUCCUACGGGAGGCAGCAGUGGGGAAUAUUGGGCAAUGGGGGGAACCCUGACCCAGCGACGCCGCGUGAGGGAAGACGGCCUUCGGGUUGUAAACCUCUUUUGUAUGGGAAGAAGGAUGUGACGGUACCAUACGAAUAAGUCCCGGCUAACUACGUGCCAGCAGCCGCGGUAAUACGUAGGGGACGAGCGUUGUCCGGAAUUACUGGGCGUAAAGGGCGCGCAGGCGGUUUGUCAAGUCAGCUGUUAAAAAUGGGGGCUUAACCCUCAUAUGCUGUUGAAACUGGCAGACUGGAGUGCUGUAGAGGCAAGUGGAAUUCCCAGUGUAGCGGUGAAAUGCGUAGAUAUUGGGAAGAACACCGGUGGCGAAGGCGACUUGCUGGGCAGCAACUGACGCUGAGGCGCGAAAGCCAGGGGAGCAAACGGGAUUAGAUACCCCGGUAGUCCUGGCCGUAAACGAUGAAUGCUAGGUGUGGGUGUAGAGAUACAUCCGUGCCGGAGCUAACGCGAUAAGCAUUCCGCCUGGGGAGUACGGUCGCAAGAUUGAAACUCAAAUGAAUUGACGG